GAUUUUUGAUUUACAAUACAUUUUUCAAAUACAGAAAAAGGAAGUACAAUAACAAAAGACUCGACAUUACUGUACAAAACUAGAAGGUAAAGGACGACAUAAAAAGAACAACAGACUCGAAAUAUAAUAACUAAAAAAAAUCUCCUUAAGCAAACUCCUGAAUGAGCGACCCUGACUGGAUGGUCCUAGGGUGUCUGUCAUGCCCAAACUCCGGUAAGUAGAUCCACACCUGUAUGAGAAAAUUAAGACCAAAUAAGGUUAAAGACCUAGAACACUAUGUGAGACGAUAACCCUUCUUGUUGGACAUAUGCAAGACAUGAUUGUGACUAUUUUUCUAAAAUUAAUCUAUGUGGCUAAAAGUGGCUAAAAAUAUAAGAUUUGGCUAAGACCCCGCGAAGCCAAUAACCUAAAACUUACUAAGAAGAACGAACCCUAUGUGGGUUGCCUACGUAUCCCGCCCCGAGAGACGAGAAUCAGGUUCGCGUAGUUCAGGCAGAUUGGAUACGGGCAGGAAUUUAAAAAAAUAACUGAUUUAGAAAAAUAUAUUUUUGUCUUUUUUUGAGAAAUGAUGAAACAUGUAAAAAAAAUUUGGAUUUUCUUUUCCUUUUUUUUUUUGAUUUUUUGGAAAAUGAUGGGAAAAUGCAAAAUCUUUAUGGAAUUUUCAUAUUCAAAUUUUUUCUUAAAAAAAUGUGAAAGAAAAAACAUAAGUAGGCCCUACUUGCUUUAUUUUCACACUUCGCCCUCUUUUUCUUUUUCUUUUUUCAUUUGCCCUCACCUAUCAUUGGUCCGCGAAAUGACCCUUUUACCUUUGAAGAUUGCAACAUGUAGCACAUAGGAUGCAUCAGGAUGGUCUUUUAUUUUUGGGUACACCUGUUCUAGACGGACCCAACCCCUGUGUUGAGUCCCCAAAGUCAAAUGCACGUGAUGCAAACAAACGUUCCUACAUGAGGUUGUGUUAUUCUAAGUUCAAACCUGGGUGUGUUCUUGACCUGGCUUACCCGAGCGGACAACUCGAGCCGAAGAGGGGGCAACGUACCGGGAGCACAAAAGUCUACCCGGCCUUAUUGCUAGCCCAACCUCGUUCUAUUUGGUAUAAUUUCUAAUAGAAAAAGUGGGCCACGCGAACGUGUGCACCAUUUUUUGAAGACUCAGAAGGGAGGCAUAAGAAGACAUUUUAAUACAAUUCAAAUAAUAUUGAAAUGAUAAAUAAACAACAAUUAGUACAUUAGGUUCACAAAUACAGUAAUAUCAACAAACAAUAAAGCCAAGCAUAGAUCAUAUUAACAAGCUCAAAUUCUUGAACCCUGAACCAAAAGUUCUGGGUUCUUAUCCCCAACAAAGUCGCUAGAGCUGUCACACCUCCUUGUUAUUACCCCCUAGAGGGGUAUGAGGGACUUUUUCCCAUUUAAGUGACAAUCGAAACGAGAUUAUUUAUUUAAAAUCAGAGUCGUCACUUAAGAUAAUUUAUGGUGUCCCAAGUCACCAAUUUGAAAUCCCGAAUCGAGGAAGUUUGACUCUAUUUACGGUCUGCGAACACAAAAAUCCGGGUAAGGAAUUCUGUUAACCCGAGAGAAGGUGUUAGGCAUUCCCGAGUUCCGUGGUUUUAGCACGGUCUCUUUGAUCAUACUUGGCUUAAACAAAAUGUCUAAUUACUUAUUUUAGAACCUAUGUGCAUUUGCCCCUUUUUUAUUAAGAAAUUAUCUUGAAACAGGUCACGUGCACGUGUACCCGUUUGUUUGGCGCAUCAAAAUCAUGUCACGCGAACGUGUCCACAAUUAACAACAUUUUUUUAUUAUUAAGAAUGUUUGGUCGAAGUUGCGCGAACACAUAUCCCGAUUUUAUUUUUUUAAGAUCGUAAUUAUGUCACGGGAACAUGUACAUAACCAUGAUCGUAUAUUAAAUGUGCCUAAAGCAAGCUACGGAUAUUAAUGUUUAUCUAGCAGCUCAAAGUCUUUGGAAUUAUCAAGCCCAAAUACCAAGACCCCAAUACUGUUUUGAAUCACUAACAUUUCAAUUAACACCCAACAACACACAUUACAUUUUUCAAGAUCAAAUCUCCAUGACAUUUCGAACAACAACGCAUUCUUCUUCUUUAUGGAAUCAAACUAGAUUCAAACCAAACUAACUGCAUGAUCGGUCUAGUAAUGUCACCACAAGACAAUUAGAUAUCAAAUUAUGGAAUCAUAGCACACAAGAAUAAUCAAACCCAAAUAACAAGAAAAAGUAAAGCAAACAUGAUAUGAUCCAUGAAUGUGUAAAGAAAAUCUUCACAAAUAAUUAGAACACUAACAUUAAGGAGAAAGAAGAGAUGAACCUUUAAUGGUCUUUAACGAUUUCUGUUUGGAAAUACAAGUAAAAGCCGGCGACCGGAGACCUCAACGAAAACCUCGACGCACCUCAUCGUCAAUUCGAACAGAAUUAAUGACCAACGAACGGACCUCAAAUCAACUCUGUCGAGGUGUAAAAUGGGAACCGGUCAGAUCUUCAACGGCAAGCCUUGGUAGUGGUGGCUAGAGACGGGUCUACCCGGCUGGUGGUUGGUGACGAAGUGGUUGCUCGUUCUCUGAAAGUGUGGAGUUGUCGUUUGGUUUCAAGAGGAGAUUUGGGAGGGCUGGAUUGUUGGUUGGUUGAAGAAAAAGCAGAACGGCGAAGGAUGAAGAAGCAGUAGCAGCUUUCGAAGAAGAAGGAGUAGCAGCUUUUGAAGAAGAAGGAGCUCAAGAGUUUUUGUAGAUCUUUUUCCAAUAAAAAAACCGGCUGAGCAUUAGGUCUUUUGGUUAGCUUCUUCAUUUUUGUGUCCAAAACGACUAACUUCUCACCCUGUUAGGUUCUGAUGUGUUCUUUCUUCGUUCUUCAUGAAGAAGAAGAAGAUAUGUUUUUUGUUUUUUCCUUUUUUCCACCCAGAAAACGGCUCCCCUUAGGGUGUAUAUGUCUAAGAUCUUAGGCGUAUUUUUUGUGUAUUUUCAGCUCCUAGGGAUCUUAGGCAUUUU
Molecule: long non-coding RNA, 2987 nt
Filed under: Nicotiana tabacum (common tobacco)
Lineage: Eukaryota; Viridiplantae; Streptophyta; Magnoliopsida; Solanales; Solanaceae
Description: long non-coding RNA (NTAB_LNC013397)
Source: RNAcentral